UGACCAGAUUUACCACGUUGCAUAGCUA
Molecule: small RNA, 28 nt
Filed under: Bombyx mori (domestic silkworm)
Lineage: Eukaryota; Metazoa; Arthropoda; Insecta; Lepidoptera; Bombycidae
Description: ovarian small RNA-31519
Source: RNAcentral